CCCUUAGAUGUUCUGGGCCGCACGCGCGCUACACUGACGAAUGCAACGAGCUUAUAACCUUGGCCGAAAGGUCUGGGUAAUCUCCAAAUUUCGUCGUGAUGGGGAUAGAUUAUUGCAAUUAUUAAUCUUCAACGAGGAAUGCCUAGUAAGCGCAAGUCAUCAGCUUGCGUUGAUUACGUCCCCGCCCUUUGUACACACCGCCCGUCGCUCCUACCGAUUGAAUGGUCCGGUGAAGCGCUCGGACCGCGGCCUCUUGACGGGUCUCCGUCGAUUGGCUGUGGGAAGUUCGUUAAACCUUAUCAUUUAGAGGAAGGAGAAGUCGUAACA
This 327-nucleotide ribosomal RNA is filed under the name uncultured eukaryote. Its description in RNAcentral is "partial 18S ribosomal RNA". It matches the Rfam family "Eukaryotic small subunit ribosomal RNA", at positions 1470 to 1796 of the family's 1831-position model. The record is from RNAcentral.